Molecule: non-coding RNA, 385 nt
Organism: Lonchura striata (white-rumped munia)
Lineage: Eukaryota; Metazoa; Chordata; Aves; Passeriformes; Estrildidae
Source: RefSeq, a predicted model, not a curated record
AUUCUAGAUUCCACUUCACAGCAUUCAAGGUUUUGGUACUUUCAGGAUCUAUUUCUCACAUCUUUUCCAGGCACAUAGAUUUUCAUGUGUGGACAGAAGGUGAGAAGUUGACAGCAUAACUUUGCCACAGGUCUUUGAUAUCUACAUAGUCCUUUGGUUUCAUCAUUUUGCUUUCAUCAGGAAGGUAUUCAAAAUGCUAUCUGAGCAAUGUGUAUUUAUUUGCUGAAAGCAUCUUGUCAUAUGAUGUCAGUUCAUGAGUGAUCAUCUCAGCCAACACUGGCAAAAUAAAAUGAAAUCUUUCUUGCACCAAGUUUAAUAAUUUCCAUCAUGGAUUUUGGAUGAAGUAGAAUGCUGAGGCUGUGGAAAUCUUCUCGGCAGUAUCACA